AGCAGCCGCGGUAAUUCCAGCUCCAAUAGCGUAUAUUAAAGUUGUUGCAGUUAAAAAGCUCGUAGUUGAAUUUCGGGGUUAGUAGGUUGGUCAUACCUCUGGUAUGUACUGGUCUCACUGAUUCCUCCUUCCUUAUGAACCGUAAUGCCAUUAAUUUGGUGUUGCGAGGAAUUUGGACUGUUACUUUGAAAAAAUUAGAGUGUUUAAAGCAAGCUAACGCUUGAAUACAUUAGCAUGGAAUAAUGAAAUAGGACGUUCGAUCUUAUUUUGUUGGUUUCUUAGGAUUGACGUAAUGAUUAAUAGGGAUAGUUGGGGGCAUUAGUAUUCAAUUGUCAGAGGUGAAAUUCUUGGAUUUAUUGAAGACUAACUACUGCGAAAGCAUUUGCCAAGGAUGUUUUCAUUAAUCAAGAACGAAAGUUAGGGGAUCGAAGACGAUCAGAUACCGUCGUAGUCUUAACCAUAAACUAUGCCGACUAGGGAUCGGAUGAUGUUAAUUUUUAAUGACUCAUUCGGCGCCUUA
This 520-nucleotide ribosomal RNA is filed under the name uncultured Glomus. RNAcentral describes it as "SSU rRNA". It matches the Rfam family "Eukaryotic small subunit ribosomal RNA", at positions 569 to 1090 of the family's 1831-position model. The record is from RNAcentral. Lineage: Eukaryota; Fungi; Glomeromycota; Glomeromycetes; Glomerales; Glomeraceae.